This is a long non-coding RNA of Lolium rigidum, 372 nucleotides long. RefSeq lists it as uncharacterized. The record is from RefSeq and is a predicted model, not a curated record. The transcript has 2 exons. NCBI's taxonomy places the organism in Eukaryota, Viridiplantae, Streptophyta, Magnoliopsida, Poales, Poaceae.
UAAACAAAACGAUGAGGUCACGCACAACAUAUGUGAAGACUGGGGUUAAUUGCGUUUGCGGUAAGAGUUGAUACUGCCAUAUGGAUGUCCCUUGGCUUCCUCGAGAUCCACAAGUUCUUUCAAAGAUGGUACAUCUACAUGCCUUAUUGUCUUCCACUGUAAUUGGUCCAGGCUUGCUCUUAAUUCACUCGGACUUUCCUGGCAAGGUGGUACCUGCAGAUGUAGUCAUAUUUAGCUCGAGCAUAGUUUUCCUUAGCUCAGCUGAGAGAAGGGCAAGUUGUAGCAUAUAUACUACUCAGCUUAUAUGUUGUAAAAUAGUUGCAAGCAAGUCAUUGUUCAUUAUAUCAAUACAUCAGGUUUGCACAACACUCA